This is a long non-coding RNA of Corythoichthys intestinalis (scribbled pipefish), 425 nucleotides long. RefSeq lists it as uncharacterized. The record is from RefSeq and is a predicted model, not a curated record. NCBI's taxonomy places the organism in Eukaryota, Metazoa, Chordata, Actinopteri, Syngnathiformes, Syngnathidae. The transcript is spliced from 3 exons.
GGCUGCACGACCAAUAUGACUAAACACCUCUGACUUCAUGGAAUACAAGUGCUGAGUACCAAGUGCAUAGCUGAGUGCAACGUAUUUGACACACUGCGCCGUCAGAACCAGGUCAUGGCAAAGACCUCCAUUCCCUGAUCACUCAUACCAAGAAGGGCAACAGGGGGCUGGAACUUCUAUCAGAUAACUUCAGGCAAAGGAUGGACUACACUGGUUGCCACACAUUUCAUACGUUCUAAUUGAAUUUCAUAGCAAAGGGUCAGCUGCUCAUGUCGCCACUGACCAGACUUUGACACAGUGAGUUAAAUGUGUCUUAAUUCUGUCAAGGGAAUGGAACUAAUGCAUUUGUCACCAGGUUGCAUCAGCCAAAUUAUUUCUCCAGACAGCAAAUUUCACAGACAAGGCAGAAGGAAAUCAAGACUAAA